CACAUGCAAGUCGAACGAAGGCCCGGGGCUUGCCCCGGUUACCUUAGUGGCGAACGGGUGAGUAACGCGUGGGAAUCUGCCCUACGGUGGGGAAUAACAGCUGGAAACGGCUGCUAAUACCGCAUACGCUCUACGGAGGAAAGGCUUCGGCCGCCGUUGGAGGAUCCCGCGUCCGAUUAGCUUGUUGGUGAGGUAAUGGCUCACCAAGGCUACGAUCGGUAGCUGGUCUGAGAGGACGAUCAGCCACACUGGGACUGAGACACGGCCCAGACUCCUACGGGAGGCAGCAGUGGGGAAUAUUGGACAAUGGGGGAAACCCUGAUCCAGCAAUGCCGCGUGAGUGAAGAAGGCCUUAGGGUUGUAAAACUCUUUCACCCGUGAAGAUGAUGACGGUAGCGGGAGAAGAAGCUCCGGCUAACUCCGUGCCAGCAGCCGCGGUAAUACGGAGGGGGCAAGCGUUGCUCGGAAUUACUGGGCGUAAAGCGCGCGUAGGCGGUACACAUAGUCAGGCGUGAAAGCCCCGGGCUUAACCCGGGAACUGCGUUUGAUACUGGUGUGCUAGAAUCCGAAAGAGGGCAGUGGAAUUCCCAGUGUAGAGGUGAAAUUCGUAGAUAUUGGGAAGAACACCAGAGGCGAAGGCGGCUGCCUGGUUCGGUAUUGACGCUGAGGUGCGAAAGCGUGGGGAGCGAACAGGAUUAGAUACCCUGGUAGUCCACGCCGUAAACGAUGAGUGCUAGUUGUUGGGCAGCAUGCUGCUCGGUGACGCCGCUNACGCUUUAAGCACUCCGCCUGGGGAGUAC
RNAcentral lists this ribosomal RNA (800 nucleotides) under uncultured Alphaproteobacteria bacterium. RNAcentral's name for it is "SSU rRNA". It matches the Rfam family "Bacterial small subunit ribosomal RNA", at positions 52 to 883 of the family's 1533-position model. The record is from RNAcentral. Lineage: Bacteria; Pseudomonadati; Pseudomonadota; Alphaproteobacteria.